This 2190-nucleotide long non-coding RNA is filed under the name Gallus gallus (chicken). RNAcentral's name for it is "lncRNA (ENSGALG00010016590.1)". The record is from RNAcentral. Lineage: Eukaryota; Metazoa; Chordata; Aves; Galliformes; Phasianidae.
GUAUAACCUUUAGGUCUAGUAGCACAUUGAUUUCGGAGUACUGGCUACCUCUCUUGGAAAAAGCCAGUUCUUUUAUGCUCACAUUUAGAAGCAAUAAAAACAGCUGGCCUUCAGAGUUCUGUGUUAGGAGACAGAAACGUAUGAAGAAGUCAGCACUGCCCGUGCAGGCUAUCCAUGAUGGUGCUUCUGCUGCAAAGUGUAACAUUCCUUCACUCAGUAUGAUGGGAUGCGAAGGGAAGGAAAUGAAAAUGCUGAUUGUCCUCUUCAGAGAUGGAGCUUCAAAGCAAUUAUCAGGAGUUUUCCAAGUCCUCGUUAAUGGGAAGUGCAGUCUCCACAUCAGCUGUUUCCAACAGAAGGACUUUCACAAGCCUUAAAUGGAGUUACCUCCCCUGCAUCAAUGGAAGUGAAAGGAGAAUUUUGUUCCCUGAUCUGUUAUGAACAUAUAAUCAAACAAAGAAUUUGGCUGCGGGCCUUUUUGACGGCAUUUUAUAUUAUACUUUAUUAGAAGGAGUCACGAGUUGAAGUGAAUAAUUCUGCCUGAGGGAGGAAAUUGGGUACAUACAGUGUGCAGAUACAAGCCUAGUUCUGAAAAUUCACAAACCCAUCAGAACCGAUGGCACCAUCUUAUUUCUUAAAUCCAAAGAAGAACACCACUCCGUACUCCUGUUGUACUGAAUCCAUCCGGAGUUCUCUACCGCUUGGUAUGUAAAGCUGUGCUUUGAGGAGGGAAGGCAGAGCAAACCACAGAGCUUCAGAGAAACCAGAUGCACACAUAAAGCAAGAAGUGGAGGUCAUGAAAAAAUGCCAGAAUUUUGUGAAGGAAGAAGGCGGCACACUGUGCCAACCACAGCCAACCACAGGAAAAAAAAAAAUGGAAGGCAGAAAAAAGUAAUGGGAAUAGAUACAAACCCUUGCUAAGCCUACUGGAAUAUGGACUUCAAUAACAAGAGUUUCAUUUAGAACAGAGAUGGGUUGUAAAACAACAGCAUCUAGUGAGUAAUCUGCUGGUCUGUGAAGCCAUCCCUCUCCAUUAGGCACUCCUAAAAGCAAGCUGUCAUCUAACAUCAAAAGCCUUGCCCUGACUUUGCACCUUUUAAGCCCUCAAAUGAGCACUGAAGCCCACAGAAGUUUUAUGCAGGCUUUCUGCAGCCUGGUGCUGGUCAGCCCGGACCACAGGGCCAACAUUUUUCUCAGCAAUACUGGUUCUCCAUAGCAGGAUCGUUCAGGCUGGAUGAGAGCAUGAGUCACCUGGAGUUGGGAUCAUCAUGUUCUUUCAAAGAAAAAGAGGGUUUGUUCUCUAUGUGAAAACAUCCAGUGGCUGGAUAUAGCCUCUCUGCACAGGGACACAGUCCAGCUAGAUACUCUGUGUUGUCACGUGCCCUUUAGAGAAUAGAGAAGAUGAUGGUUAAGGUUGUAGAAAUGCUAGCACAUGGAAUCACUUUUCAUAACCUGAAUAAAUAAUUUUCAGAGCAAGCAUUGUUCUUUCUCUUUUGUACACUUUGGCUGGCAGUGGAGAGGAGUUUUAAAUAGAAAAGAAAGUACAGUGAACAGUAUGACUUUAUGAGUUUCCUCAGUCUCAGGAAGGAAGCAGAAGGUGCCGAAUUAAACAAACAUCUGCCCUGGCAAAUAGCAAACAAUGUGUUUGUCUAGCAAACUGAACAAACAGGACUUGGAAGUCUGAGAGAGGGGAGGAUGAGACAGAGGAAGCCAAGAUGGCCAUUUUGCCAAAUGACAUUUUUUCACGCGCCAGCAGUCAGUGUUGUAAUUAUGAGAAACUCUGGGGAACUGAGGAGUCUGAAUCCUCAUUGCUUUAGAGCAUUGCCAAUAAGAUAUAAAAAUUGCUAACAUAGUGAAAGCAUUCAUCUGCAGUGGGGUUUGGUAUGCCUUUAACCAGCAAAACGUCUAUUAUGCAAAAGAAAAUUCAUUAUAGAGUCUUUCAUCACACCAAUUUCAUGCUCAUCAAAAGGGCCAGAUUAACAAUGGCAGGAAUUGACGUCUGGUGUUUAUGUACAGAUGAGGCAGAGGCAUUCAUAGAGCAUGCUUUUUUGCUAACACGUCUCAACCUGCCAUGAAAAGGCAGCCCUGAGGGUCAGGUUAGUCACUGUUCAUGGGCUCGCAGAAGUUUGCAGCCAAGGUGACAGUAAGUGCAAGAGUAAAUUAGGCAUGAGGCUGUGAGGAGCACUGAGAAAG